GAUGAACGCUAGCGGGAGGCCUAACACAUGCAAGCCGAGCGGUAUUUGUUCUUCGGAACAGAGAGAGCGGCGCACGGGUGCGGAACACGUGUGCAACCUGCCUUUAUCUGGGGGAUAGCCUUUCGAAAGGAAGAUUAAUACCCCAUAAUAUAUUGAGUGGCAUCAUUUGAUAUUGAAAACUCCGGUGGAUAGAGAUGGGCACGCGCAAGAUUAGAUAGUUGGUGAGGUAACGGCUCACCAAGUCAAUGAUCUUUAGGGGGCCUGAGAGGGUGAUCCCCCACACUGGUACUGAGACGCGGACCAGACUCCUACGGGAGGCAGCAGUGAGGAAUAUUGGACAAUGGGUUAGCGCCUGAUCCAGCCAUCCCGCGUGAAGGACGACGGCCCUAUGGGUUGUAAACUUCUUUUGUAUAGGGAUAAACCUACUCUCGUGUGAGUAGCUGAAGGUACUAGACGAAUAAGCACCGGCUAACUCCGUG
RNAcentral lists this ribosomal RNA (479 nucleotides) under uncultured bacterium. RNAcentral's name for it is "partial 16S ribosomal RNA". It matches the Rfam family "Bacterial small subunit ribosomal RNA", at positions 28 to 507 of the family's 1533-position model. The record is from RNAcentral.